UACGGAGGGUGCAAGCGUUAUCCGGAUUUACUGGGUUUAAAGGGUGUGUAGGCGGGUCUUUAAGUCAGUGGUGAAAUCUCCGAGCUUAACUUGGAAACUGCCAUUGAUACUAUUGAUCUUGAAUUCUGUUGAGGUGGGCGGAAUAUGUCAUGUAGCGGUGAAAUGCAUAGAUAUGACAUAGAACACCAAUUGCGAAGGCAGCUCACUAAGCAGAUAUUGACGCUGAGGCACGAAAGCGUGGGGAUCAAACAGGAUUAGAUACCCUGGUAGUCCACGCCCUAAACGAUGAUUACUCGACAUACGCGAUACACAGUGUGUGUCUGAGCGAAAGCAUUAAGUAAUCCACCUGGGAAGUACGACCGCAAGGUUGAA
This 372-nucleotide ribosomal RNA is filed under the name uncultured bacterium. Its description in RNAcentral is "bacterial SSU rRNA". It matches the Rfam family "Bacterial small subunit ribosomal RNA", at positions 524 to 898 of the family's 1533-position model. The record is from RNAcentral.